This 460-nucleotide ribosomal RNA is filed under the name uncultured bacterium. RNAcentral's name for it is "partial 16S ribosomal RNA". It matches the Rfam family "Bacterial small subunit ribosomal RNA", at positions 338 to 795 of the family's 1533-position model. The record is from RNAcentral.
CCUACGGGAGGCAGCAGUGAGGAAUAUUGGUCAAUGGCCGGAAGGCUGAACCAGCCAUGCCGCGUGAAGGUCAGUGCCCUUUGGGCGUUAAACUACUUUUAUGCGGGAGCAAUAAUGGUCAGUUGUGGCCCGACGAGAGUACCGUACGCAUAAGCAUCGGCUAACUCCGGGCCCGCAGCCGCGGGAACACUGGGGAUGUGAGCGUUAGCCGGAUUUGUUGGGUUUAAAGGGUGCGUAGGCGGGGAGGUAGGUCAGCGGGGAAAUGCCCCGGGUCAACGGGGGGAAGUGCCAUUGAUACUGGCUAGCUAGAAUGCGGAUGCGGUGGGAGGAAUGUGUGGUGUAGCGGUGAAAUGCAUAGAGAUGACACAGAACACCGAUUGCGAAGGCAUCUCCCGAAUCAGCGAUUGACGCUGAGGUACGAAAGCGUGGGUAUCAAACAGGAUUAGAUACCCCUGUAGUC